This 540-nucleotide unclassified non-coding RNA is filed under the name Hevea brasiliensis (rubber tree). Lineage: Eukaryota; Viridiplantae; Streptophyta; Magnoliopsida; Malpighiales; Euphorbiaceae. The record is from RNAcentral.
GUUGCUUGAUUCUAUUAACUCCCCAUUUAUAAACUCUCAUACAGUAGGUGCAUUGAAGAUUAUUGGUAUAAUUUCUACUAACUUGAAUUAGGUAUGUCCAUCCUGGGUUCGUUCUUCUACUACCAGUAGAAGAUCUAGUUGUAUUACCCUUAUCACCCAUCUAUGAUCUAGCAAAAAAAUUAAAAGGCAACAAAAAUUAAUAAGCAACAAAACAAUACAAAUGGAUAAGGGGAGCAUGAAUUAACAACUAAUUAACAAUAAUAAAAAGAAAAAGUAACAAGAAAUUAACAAGAAUAAAAAGUAAAAAUAUACAAAUUAACAAUAUCAUAUAAAUUAAACAACUAAAUGACAACUAAUUAAUAAGAAUAAAAAGUAAAAGUAAUAAGAAAUUAACAAAUUAACAAUGCCCAUAUAAUUUAAACAACUAAUUACCAACUAAUUAACAAAUUAGCAACAAAAUAUUAAGAAUUAAAAAGAAAAAAAAAGUAAACAAAUUAACAAUUAAAAUAAAAAAAUAAAAUAAAUAAAACAAUAUGACCA